RNAcentral lists this ribosomal RNA (250 nucleotides) under uncultured bacterium. Its description in RNAcentral is "partial 16S ribosomal RNA". It matches the Rfam family "Bacterial small subunit ribosomal RNA", at positions 524 to 773 of the family's 1533-position model. The record is from RNAcentral.
UACGUAGGGAGCAAGCGUUGUCCGGAUUUACUGGGUGUAAAGGGUGCGUAGGCGGCUUUUUAAGUCGGGCGUGAAAGCUGUGGGCUUAACCCACAAAUUGCGUUCGAAACUGGAAGGCUUGAGUGAAGUAGAGGUAGGCGGAAUUCCCGGUGUAGCGGUGAAAUGCGUAGAGAUCGGGAGGAACACCAGUGGCGAAGGCGGCCUACUGGGCUUUAACUGACGCUGAGGCACGAAAGCAUGGGUAGCAAAC